UACGUAGGUGGCAAGCGUUAUCCGGAUUUAUUGGGCGUAAAGGGAACGCAGGCGGUCUUUUAAGUCUGAUGUGAAAGCCUUCGGCUUAACCGGAGUAGUGCAUUGGAAACUGGGAGACUUGAGUGCAGAAGAGGAGAGUGGAACUCCAUGUGUAGCGGUGAAAUGCGUAGAUAUAUGGAAGAACACUAGUGGCGAAAGCGGCUCUCUGGUCUGUAACUGACGCUGAGGUUCGAAAGCGUGGGUAGCAAACAGG
RNAcentral lists this ribosomal RNA (253 nucleotides) under uncultured bacterium. Its description in RNAcentral is "partial 16S ribosomal RNA". It matches the Rfam family "Bacterial small subunit ribosomal RNA", at positions 524 to 776 of the family's 1533-position model. The record is from RNAcentral.